UACGAAGGGUGCAAGCGUUACUCGGAAUUACUGGGCGUAAAGCGUGCGCAGGCGGUUUUGUAAGCCAGAUGUGAAAUCCCCGGGCUUAACCUGGGAAUGGCAUUUGGGACUGCAAGGCUUGAGUGCGGCAGAGGAGACUGGAAUUCAUGGUGUAAGCAGUGAAAUGCGUAGAUAAUCAUGAGGAAUACCAGAGGCGAAGGCGGCUACCUGGACAAUUGCUGACGCUCAGGCACGAAAGCGUGGGGAGCAAAAGGG
RNAcentral lists this ribosomal RNA (255 nucleotides) under uncultured bacterium. Its description in RNAcentral is "partial 16S ribosomal RNA". It matches the Rfam family "Bacterial small subunit ribosomal RNA", at positions 524 to 776 of the family's 1533-position model. The record is from RNAcentral.